GGAUUAGAUACCCUGGUAGUCCACGCCGUAAACGAUGUCGACCAGCCGUCGGAUCCAUUCAAGGGUUUGGUGGCGCAGCUAACGCGAUAAGUCGACCGCCUGGGGAGUACGGCCGCAAGGUUAAAACUCAAAGGAAUUGACGGGGGCCCGCACAAGCGGUGGAGCAUGUGGUUUAAUUCGAUGCAACGCGAAGAACCUUACCAGCCCUUGACAUCGAGAGAAUCCUGCAGAGAUGCGGGAGUGCCUUCGGGCCUUGAAGACAGGUGCUGCAUGGCUGUCGUCAGCUCGUGCCG
This 293-nucleotide ribosomal RNA is filed under the name uncultured bacterium. Its description in RNAcentral is "partial 16S ribosomal RNA". It matches the Rfam family "Bacterial small subunit ribosomal RNA", at positions 775 to 1067 of the family's 1533-position model. The record is from RNAcentral.